Molecule: long non-coding RNA, 530 nt
Organism: Antechinus flavipes (yellow-footed antechinus)
Lineage: Eukaryota; Metazoa; Chordata; Mammalia; Dasyuromorphia; Dasyuridae
Exons: 4
Source: RefSeq, a predicted model, not a curated record
GGCUGGGACCUGGAGGACGAGCUAAUACCACGGAUCAGCAGACGGGGCGCCUUCGAAGCGCACUGCCAGCUGAGCCUUUACCCAAUCCUCCCUCUCCGAUGUUCAGGUGACCGCCCAGCAGCCAUAGCUGUCAGUUCAAGUGGCAUUACAAUAUCGAGAAAGUAAUUUUAUUGUACUGCAGAGGUAGAAAAGUGUGGAAGAAAGGACCUGAGCUUGCCCAGUGGAGCAUCCACUGAAAGAAGAACCCUGUAGUUUGAAAGAAGUGGUCAUGUGUCAAAUUGCAAAAGUAGUGGCUACAGGAGAAAGUACGUUUUCUUUUCACUUCCACCUUGAACCUCCAAAUCUUGCCAGAUGAAGAACGGAGAUAAUUGUCUGAGGUCAGAUUUGAACUCAAGGAGAUGAGUCUUCCCAACUUCUGGUCCUGCACUCUAUACAUUACAUCACCUAGCUGUGCCUCCUUCCAUGUGAUUGGCUCUAUUUUAGGUGAACUGGGCAUGUGCCAAAUGCCUAUUGAACUUGCCUGCAUAAUA